GAUGAAGAACGUAGCGAAAUGCGAUAAGUAGUGUGAAUUGCAGAAUUCCGUGAAUCAUCGAAUCUUUGAACGCACAUUGCGCCCUUUGGUAUUCCUUAGGGCAUGCCUGUUCGAGCGUCAUUUAAACCUUCAAGCUCAGCUUGGUGUUGGGUGACUGUCCGCCGCCUCCGGGCGGUCGGACUCGCCUCAAAUUGAUUGGCGGCCGGUACUUUGGCUUCGAGCGCAGCAGAAACGCGAACUCGAGGCCGUCGUCCUGGCUCCCAGAAGCUAUCUUCACAAUUUUGACCUCGGAUCAGGUAGGGAUACCCGCUGAACUUAAGCAUAUCAAUAAGCGGAGGA
This 339-nucleotide unclassified non-coding RNA is filed under the name soil metagenome. Its description in RNAcentral is "partial contains 5.8S ribosomal RNA, internal transcribed spacer 2, and large subunit ribosomal RNA". The stretch from base 1 to 120 matches the Rfam family "5.8S ribosomal RNA", at positions 35 to 154 of the family's 154-position model. The record is from RNAcentral.